UUCUAUUAGGUGUUUCUGCACGAGAAAAUUUGAAUUUCUAAGAGAAAAAUUGUUUAUUUCAAUAGAAA
RNAcentral lists this transfer RNA (68 nucleotides) under Naesiotus nux. RNAcentral describes it as "tRNA-Gln". The record is from RNAcentral. Lineage: Eukaryota; Metazoa; Mollusca; Gastropoda; Stylommatophora; Orthalicidae.